AUUAAAAAAAAACUUGUUUUCUGUGUCUAACGUUUGACCGUCCGUCUUAUUUAAAAAAAUUAUUAAAAAAAUAAAAAGACAAGUCACGUAUAAAAUAUUAAUCAUGUUUUAUCAUCUAACAAUAAUAAAAAUAUAAAUUAUAAACAAAAUUCAUAUAAAACGGACAGUCAAAGUUGGACACGAAAACCCAUAGUUUAUCUUUUU
Molecule: microRNA precursor, 204 nt
Filed under: Oryza rufipogon (brownbeard rice)
Lineage: Eukaryota; Viridiplantae; Streptophyta; Magnoliopsida; Poales; Poaceae
Description: MIR812 microRNA precursor family
Rfam family: MIR812 microRNA precursor family
Source: Rfam by way of RNAcentral